RNAcentral lists this ribosomal RNA (428 nucleotides) under uncultured bacterium. RNAcentral's name for it is "bacterial SSU rRNA". It matches the Rfam family "Bacterial small subunit ribosomal RNA", at positions 355 to 775 of the family's 1533-position model. The record is from RNAcentral.
UGGGGAAUCUUGCACAAUGCGCGAAAGCGUGAUGCAGCAACGCCGCGUGGGGGAAGAAGGCCUUCGGGUUGUAAACCCCUUUCAGUUGGGACGAAGCUCCGACGGUGAAUAGUCGUCUGGAGUGACGGUACCUUCACAAGAAGCCCCGGCUAACUACGUGCCAGCAGCCGCGGUAAUACGUAGGGGGCAAGCGUUGUCCGGAAUCAUUGGGCGUAAAGCGCGUGUAGGCGGCCCGGUAAGUCCGCUGUGAAAGUCAAGGGCUCAACCCUUGAAAGCCGGUGGAUACUGUCGGGCUAGAGUGCGGGAGAGGCGAGUGGAAUUCCUGGUGUAGCGGUGAAAUGCGCAGAUAUCAGGAGGAACACCGAUUGCGAAGGCAGCUCGCUGGAACGUAACUGACGCUGAGACGCGAAAGCGUGGGGAGCAAACAG